Molecule: long non-coding RNA, 277 nt
Organism: Carlito syrichta (Philippine tarsier)
Lineage: Eukaryota; Metazoa; Chordata; Mammalia; Primates; Tarsiidae
Exons: 2
Source: RefSeq, a predicted model, not a curated record
UUCUCAGGACUCAGGGAAUAGAACACCACAUUUUCCGGAGUCACAAAUUCUUCCCGUGCAUACCGGCUGAGCAAGAAGCACCACAAUGAUUGUUGUCUUAUGGAUGCUUCUUAUUGCAGGCACCAUAUGGAAGGGAUAUAAAUAUCCCCCAGGAGGGACCCCAGUGGAAGUAUGCAAAGAUGAUCCCGGUGAAGUAAUGCAGCUCUGAAGCUCACCUGACCAGCUGUACAGUUCCUGUUGUUGGUUUUGCAUAAAGUAAUUGCGCAUUAUUUUGUCA